AACGCACAUUGCGCCCCUUGGUAUUCCGAGGGGCAUGCCUAUUCGAGCGUCAUUAUCACCCCUCAAGCUCCGGCUUGGUGUUGAGGCCUGCUGUAAAGGCACCCUCUAAAAUCAGUGGCAGUGCUGUCAGGCUCUAAGCGUAGUAAUUUCUCUCGCUACAGGGUCCCGGUAGACACUCGCCAGAACCCCCCCAUUUUUUAAUGAUUGACCUCGGAUUAGGUAGGGAUACCCGCUGAACUUAA
This 242-nucleotide unclassified non-coding RNA is filed under the name uncultured Tetracladium. Its description in RNAcentral is "sequence contains ITS2". The record is from RNAcentral. Lineage: Eukaryota; Fungi; Ascomycota.